UCUUACCCUAUUUAAGACAAACUAGCUUCAUUUGCAUUUCACAUUCAACAAGUUCUCCAACUAGUUCUCUUUUAUUCUUUGAAACAAGUCUCCUCCUAUAUGGCUCUUCAAUUCCUUUCAAUUCGAACCAUCUUUCUCUUCCUUCUCGUUUUGGUGGCCACAGAGAUGGGGUCAAUUAUGGUGGUAGAGGCAAGGAAAUGUUUGUCUCAAAGUCACAGUUUUAAAGGACUAUGUUUAAGUGAUCAAAAUUGUGCUACUGUGUGCUUAACAGAGGGUUUCACAGAUGGACGUUGUCGUGGCUUCCGUCAGAGAUGUUUUUGCUCUAAACCUUGUUUAAAAGUUUGAGAAUAUUCCAUGAGAGAUUAUGAUUCCAUCACCUUUUGUAAUUGCUUUUAAUUUGCAAUAAUAUGGAUGAGAUGUUUUAAUUUGUACAA
Medicago truncatula (barrel medic) is the source of this 434-nucleotide long non-coding RNA. RefSeq lists it as uncharacterized. The transcript has 2 exons. Lineage: Eukaryota; Viridiplantae; Streptophyta; Magnoliopsida; Fabales; Fabaceae. The record is from RefSeq and is a predicted model, not a curated record.